UAUGAUAAGUGGGAUUCGAACCCACGCCUACAAGAGUAGAUUGCGACCUAAACGUACCCCCUUAGACCGCUCGGCCACCCUGAC
Molecule: non-coding RNA, 84 nt
Organism: Cordylochernes scorpioides
Lineage: Eukaryota; Metazoa; Arthropoda; Arachnida; Pseudoscorpiones; Chernetidae
Source: the annotation of a GenBank genome assembly